AUGACCACUUUGCCCUUGCCCGUAAACAGCCCCCUCGGGAGAGAACUGUUUCCAGCGAAUCUUUCCGCGAUCCUUCUGUACUUCUUCCCGGUGACCUCACUACUGCAGGAUGCUGCUAACACGACACUACGAUCAGAGACCCUUCGACAAAACUAUGUGCUAUGCCAUAAUCGCAAACGGCGGUGUAAAAAACCGUCAAAAAGGUGCAAAACGUUUGCGAUGGAGGAUGCAUCAAACACGAUUCAGAUUUUAGUUGCGUGUCUGAUUCAGGGCAUAUGGUUCAUUUCAAUUAACCGUUUUCGAUGA
Molecule: ribosomal RNA, 306 nt
Filed under: Triticum aestivum (bread wheat)
Lineage: Eukaryota; Viridiplantae; Streptophyta; Magnoliopsida; Poales; Poaceae
Description: partial small subunit ribosomal RNA
Source: RNAcentral